CAUGGGAGUUUGGAGGAUUGUUUAAGGGUGUUUACGGAAUAACAUUCUUCAAUUUACGUCAAAUUGGACAUAUAUGGAAUUAGUGAAAUUAUGAACCGAUAGUAUAAGAGAUUUGGGAAAUAGUGUACAUGCUUAAAUGAAAUAAAGAUCUUGAAAUUCUCUAUUUACAUCCAUAAUUGUUCUGAACAGUUCUAGUUAUAAGAUACAUUUGAAAGUGAUAUAUUUCAUUACACUGCUCAAAGUAUAUAUUUAAAUUAUAUACAUAAGAAACGUUAAGAUGGAUGGAAGAGUUGUUGCACUGUGCUUCUUCUGUUUCUUUGUGAUUGCAGAAUCUUUCUUGACUGAUAAACCAUAUUGUAGCCAUGGCAAUUAUUUAUCCAAUAUAUAUUGUGGUCGAGGAUCUACUACGCCAUGUCCCGAUGACUAUUCAUGUCACGUGCAUCCUGCCGAUCGAUGGGCUGUCUGCUGCCCAAAAG
Long non-coding RNA from Mytilus californianus (California mussel), 476 nucleotides. RefSeq lists it as uncharacterized. The record is from RefSeq and is a predicted model, not a curated record. The transcript has 2 exons. NCBI's taxonomy places the organism in Eukaryota, Metazoa, Mollusca, Bivalvia, Mytilida, Mytilidae.